UACGAAGGGGGCUAGCGUUGUUCGGAAUUACUGGGCGUAAAGCGCGCGCAGGCGGUUUUCCAAGUCAGUGGUGAAAGCCCAGAGCUCAACUCUGGAACUGCCAUUGAAACUGUUAAACUAGAGGACGAGAGAGGUGAGUGGAAUUCCCAGUGUAGAGGUGAAAUUCGUAGAUAUUGGGAAGAACACCGGUGGCGAAGGCGGCUCACUGGCUCGAUACUGACGCUGAGGUGCGAAAGCGUGGGGAGCAAACAGG
RNAcentral lists this ribosomal RNA (253 nucleotides) under uncultured bacterium. RNAcentral's name for it is "partial 16S ribosomal RNA". It matches the Rfam family "Bacterial small subunit ribosomal RNA", at positions 524 to 776 of the family's 1533-position model. The record is from RNAcentral.